Molecule: ribosomal RNA, 494 nt
Filed under: uncultured bacterium
Lineage: Bacteria
Description: partial 16S ribosomal RNA
Rfam family: Bacterial small subunit ribosomal RNA
Source: RNAcentral
GACGAACGCUGGCGGCGUGCUUUAGGCAUGCAAGUCGAACGCGAAAGCCCCUUCGGGGGUGAGUAGAGUGGCGAACGGGUGAGUAACACGUGGGUAACCUGCCCCUCGCAGGGGGAUAACCGGGGGAAACCCCGGCUAAUACCCCGUACGCUUGCUGGGGCGCAUGCUCCGGCAAGGAAAGGUAGCUUCGGCCAUCCGGCGAGGGAGGGGCCCGCGGCCCAUUAGCUAGUUGGUGGGGUAACGGCCCACCAAGGCGACGAUGGGUAGCUGGCCUGAGAGGGUGGUCAGCCACACUGGGACUGAGACACGGCCCAGACUCCUACGGGAGGCAGCAGCCAGGAAUCUUGCGCAAUGGGCGAAGGCCUGACGAAGAAACGCCGCGUGGGCGAUGAAGGCUUUCGGGUCGUAAAGCCCUGUUGUCGGGGACGAAGGGCGAAGGGUUAAUAGCCCCUAGCCUGACGGUACCCGACGAGGAAGCCCCGGCUAACUACGUG